Molecule: ribosomal RNA, 396 nt
Filed under: uncultured bacterium
Lineage: Bacteria
Description: bacterial SSU rRNA
Rfam family: Bacterial small subunit ribosomal RNA
Source: RNAcentral
AACGAACGCUGGCGGCAGGCCUAACACAUGCAAGUCGAACGCUCGUAGCAAUACGAGAGUGGCAGACGGGUGAGUAACACGUGGGAACCUUCCCUAUGGUUCGGAAUAGCCCAGGGAAACUUGGGGUAAUACCGGAUAAGCCCUUCGGGGGAAGAUUUAUCGCCAUUGGAUGGGCCCGCGUCGGAUUAGCUAGUUGGUGAGGUAACGGCUCACCAAGGCGACGAUCCGUAGCUGGUCUGAGAGGAUGAUCAGCCACACUGGGACUGAGACACGGCCCAGACUCCUACGGGAGGCAGCAGUGGGGAAUUUUGGGCAAUGGGCGGAAAGCCUGACCCAGCAACGCCGCGUGAAGGAUGAAAUCCCUCGGGAUGUAAACUUCGCAAGAACGGGAAGAAU